AGAUCUCAAACCUACUAUCAUUGAUGAGGAAAAUCAAAAUCAUUUAUAGCAUAGAACGCUACUAGUGACCCUUUCCUUUUCUGGGAGCACAUGAUAGUUCUGUCAUAUGAAACUAGAUGCUGGUUUUUAGUAGGGUUGCAACGACAUCAGCCAAAAUUUCGGAAUCUUUUCUUAAGCUUCAAUAAAAGUUAGCCUUGGCGUUGCUUGAAUUGGUAAUAACUAUGUCUUUGAUGUCACAUUUGACAAGUAAGCUUCUUAAGCUUUAGUCCUAGGUGAUUUCUAGAAGUUACCACCAAGGAAAAGAAGCCAAAGUAUCAUAUCCAUGGAAUCAUAUCAGAAAUCCUACACCACUGUUCACUUUGGCAGGCCUCAAAUUCAGUAUAUCAAGGUGGUCCUUGAAUAAUAGCUUCCCUCCAAAUAUUUGUUGUUAUAAGGUACAAUAUCACAAUAUAGGGUCAAAAUCCCAUUUUAUCCUAGGUUGAAAGCUAAAUGUUAAUAAAACUAUAAAGGCACUUCUUUUUAAGUAGCUGCUGCUUUUAAUGAAACUACCAUAGUGUUUUUUUUUUGGAAUAUUCUGCCAUAGUAUUUUUAACUGACCUCAUGAAGGAUCCCGAGGCAUUUAAUUAGUGUGGAUUGUUCAGAAAUUCUGGCUAUAACAGUGGAGAAGUGUUUCGAACUAGAAGAAUCCUUUAUCAUACAUUUACUGUGAUUCGGUAAUCCAAGUUUAGAAAAACUGAAGAGAAUUCAAACCCCCUGUUAUGUCAUUAAAUCCUGUUUAGUUAAUGUCUCACUCUCAAAUUUUUUGCAACAGCUACCAAAAUACCAUGCUUUGCUAGCCCAGUCAAAAUCCUGUUUCACUAUUUUGAUGUUCAGAACUUAGUAAACCCUAAUUAUGUUCAUUGUAGUUAUCAAUUAUGUUCUGACCAAGGUAUUCAAUACCGUGCCGAUGGACGUAUUGUUUUUCAACUGGAACUGAUGCAUACCGGUA
This 988-nucleotide long non-coding RNA is filed under the name Gossypium barbadense (sea-island cotton). Its description in RNAcentral is "long non-coding RNA (GBAR_LNC007844)". Lineage: Eukaryota; Viridiplantae; Streptophyta; Magnoliopsida; Malvales; Malvaceae. The record is from RNAcentral.